This 492-nucleotide ribosomal RNA is filed under the name uncultured bacterium. RNAcentral's name for it is "partial 16S ribosomal RNA". It matches the Rfam family "Bacterial small subunit ribosomal RNA", at positions 29 to 507 of the family's 1533-position model. The record is from RNAcentral.
AGUGAACGCUGGCGGUAGGCCUAACACAUGCAAGUCGAACGGCAGCACAGUAAGAGCUUGCUCUUACGGGUGGCGAGUGGCGGACGGGUGAGGAAUACAUCGGAAUCUACUUUUUCGUGGGGGAUAACGUAGGGAAACUUACGCUAAUACCGCAUACGACCUACGGGUGAAAGCAGGGGAUCUUCGGACCUUGCGCGAUUGAAUGAGCCGAUGUCGGAUUAGCUAGUUGGCGGGGUAAAGGCCCACCAAGGCGACGAUCCGUAGCUGGUCUGAGAGGAUGAUCAGCCACACGGGAACUGAGACACGGUCAAGACGCCUACGGGAGGCAGCAGUGGGGAAUAUUGGACAAUGGGCGCAAGCCUGAUCCAGCCAUACCGCGUGGGUGAAGAAGGCCUUCGGUUUGUAAAGCCCUUUUGUUGGGAAAGAAAAGCAGCAGGUUAAUACCCCGCUGUUCUGACGGUACCCAAAGAAUAAGCACCGGCUAACUUCGUG